Scleropages formosus (Asian bonytongue) is the source of this 119-nucleotide ribosomal RNA. Lineage: Eukaryota; Metazoa; Chordata; Actinopteri; Osteoglossiformes; Osteoglossidae. The record is from Ensembl.
GCUUAUGGCCAUGCCAACCUGAAAACACCCCAUCUCGUCUGAUCUCGGAAGCAAAGCAGGGUCAGUCCUGGUUUGUACUUGGAUGGGAGACCACCUGGGAAUACCGGGUGCUGUAAGCC